CUUCUUAGAGUGCGUGUGUAUUUUUUUUCAUUUCCCGUACGUUUAGAUAAACGACCAUGUUUAUGUGGAUAUCGAAUCCGUUCUCGAGGACCCUCGUGGCGCGUUAUCGGAUCGAUAUCGUGUCGGGACUACGAGAACUGAUGCAGGAGUUAUUUUUUGAACAGACGAGGGCAAGGGGGAAGAAAAACCCUAUCCGUUUUCGAUCCCCUAUUAAUUCAGGAGGAACGACACACGAGCUCGUGCAAAACGCAAAACUGAUCAUUAUGGUGGCAUGCGAUUUUGCCGUACUCAGCUCGCGCUUAAGCACGUGUCGAUGACGUCACCGUCACGUCUUGGAUGCACACAGGCAUUUCGCGGUCCUUUUCGGCACCUGUGUCUAACUAUAAUCGCUAUUGCUACCGUAUCGGUAGGUUUUAAACAAUUUCCGCCGAGGUUUUAU
This is a non-coding RNA of Cinara cedri, 439 nucleotides long. Lineage: Eukaryota; Metazoa; Arthropoda; Insecta; Hemiptera; Aphididae. The record is from the annotation of a GenBank genome assembly.